This 1528-nucleotide ribosomal RNA is filed under the name Escherichia coli. Its description in RNAcentral is "partial 23S ribosomal RNA". It matches the Rfam family "Bacterial large subunit ribosomal RNA", at positions 697 to 2208 of the family's 2925-position model. Lineage: Bacteria; Pseudomonadati; Pseudomonadota; Gammaproteobacteria; Enterobacterales; Enterobacteriaceae. The record is from RNAcentral.
AAGUUGCAGGGUAUAGACCCGAAACCCGGUGAUCUAGCCAUGGGCAGGUUGAAGGUUGGGUAACACUAACUGGAGGACCGAACCGACUAAUGUUGAAAAAUUAGCGGAUGACUUGUGGCUGGGGGUGAAAGGCCAAUCAAACCGGGAGAUAGCUGGUUCUCCCCGAAAGCUAUUUAGGUAGCGCCUCGUGAAUUCAUCUCCGGGGGUAGAGCACUGUUUCGGCAAGGGGGUCAUCCCGACUUACCAACCCGAUGCAAACUGCGAAUACCGGAGAAUGUUAUCACGGGAGACACACGGCGGGUGCUAACGUCCGUCGUGAAGAGGGAAACAACCCAGACCGCCAGCUAAGGUCCCAAAGUCAUGGUUAAGUGGGAAACGAUGUGGGAAGGCCCAGACAGCCAGGAUGUUGGCUUAGAAGCAGCCAUCAUUUAAAGAAAGCGUAAUAGCUCACUGGUCGAGUCGGCCUGCGCGGAAGAUGUAACGGGGCUAAACCAUGCACCGAAGCUGCGGCAGCGACACUGUGUGUUGUUGGGUAGGGGAGCGUUCUGUAAGCCUGUGAAGGUGUGCUGUGAGGCAUGCUGGAGGUAUCAGAAGUGCGAAUGCUGACAUAAGUAACGAUAAAGCGGGUGAAAAGCCCGCUCGCCGGAAGACCAAGGGUUCCUGUCCAACGUUAAUCGGGGCAGGGUGAGUCGACCCCUAAGGCGAGGCCGAAAGGCGUAGUCGAUGGGAAACAGGUUAAUAUUCCUGUACUUGGUGUUACUGCGAAGGGGGGACGGAGAAGGCUAUGUUGGCCGGGCGACGGUUGUCCCGGUUUAAGCGUGUAGGCUGGUUUUCCAGGCAAAUCCGGAAAAUCAAGGCUGAGGCGUGAUGACGAGGCACUACGGUGCUGAAGCAACAAAUGCCCUGCUUCCAGGAAAAGCCUCUAAGCAUCAGGUAACAUCAAAUCGUACCCCAAACCGACACAGGUGGUCAGGUAGAGAAUACCAAGGCGCUUGAGAGAACUCGGGUGAAGGAACUAGGCAAAAUGGUGCCGUAACUUCGGGAGAAGGCACGCUGAUAUGUAGGUGAAGUCCCUCGCGGAUGGAGCUGAAAUCAGUCGAAGAUACCAGCUGGCUGCAACUGUUUAUUAAAAACACAGCACUGUGCAAACACGAAAGUGGACGUAUACGGUGUGACGCCUGCCCGGUGCCGGAAGGUUAAUUGAUGGGGUCAGCGCAAGCGAAGCUCUUGAUCGAAGCCCCGGUAAACGGCGGCCGUAACUAUAACGGUCCUAAGGUAGCGAAAUUCCUUGUCGGGUAAGUUCCGACCUGCACGAAUGGCGUAAUGAUGGCCAGGCUGUCUCCACCCGAGACUCAGUGAAAUUGAACUCGCUGUGAAGAUGCAGUGUACCCGCGGCAAGACGGAAAGACCCCGUGAACCUUUACUAUAGCUUGACACUGAACAUUGAGCCUUGAUGUGUAGGAUAGGUGGGAGGCUUUGAAGUGUGGACGCCAGUCUGCAUGGAGCCGACCUUGAAAUACCACCCUUU